CGCACGCGAGCCACGAGUGACGGAGGUUAGCGGAGAAUCGGCUCGCGUUGCCGACUCGGAACAGGGCGAGUCGAAACCCAGUGCAACGAUCGCGUUCCCGGGCUCGGCGAAAGCCGCGAGACUCGUCGCUCGUCUGGUGGGAGCGCGUGACCGCUCGUUCCUCACGGAUUUCACGAAACACCCCCAAAACGGCAACCCGUCGUCGUCGUGGUGCUGCCGGGGCCCCGCCGUUAGCCGCGAGAGAUCGCGAGAAGGGAGCUUCGCCGGAGAAUCGGCCGGGCGAUCGCCGAGAGGGUCGGCCUCGUCGUGCGCGACCGGAUCAACGGCCACCACAUACGCCGCUUACUGGCGGCCCAGUGAAAUGGAGGAGAAGUCCUCGGCUCGGUUCUCCGAGUACCUGUUCGCCAAGAUGGAUGGUCAUGACGUGUCGGCCUCUCAGGGUCCCCGUAAGGUGACCGCCGACACCAGGAAGUUCAUGCGGGAGAAUCUACUCCUCGUCGUUACCCUGUCCGGCGUACUGUUCGGCGUGAUACUGGGAUUCGGUUUGCGACCCCUGGGCCUCGGCGAUGACGCAGUUAUGUUAAUCAGUUAUCCUGGAGAGCUCUUCAUGAGGUUGUUAAAGUUAAUGAUCCUACCGCUCGUGAUCGCUAGUCUUAUAUCAGGUUCGGCGAGUUUGAACGCGAGGAUGAACGGCAUGAUCGCCGUACGAACUUUGGUGUACUUCAUACUGACAUCGCUGCUAAACGCUGUCCUUGGCGUCGUCCUGGUUCUGCUCAUCCAUCCGGGUAAUCCAGGGAUCAGAAAAUCGAUCGCGACCUCGCACAGCGGUAGAGCCGUUAACAUCUUGGACAGUCUUCUCGAUUUGGGAAGGAACAUGUUCCCGGACAAUAUUUUCCAAGCAGCCUUUCAGCAGGCGCACACGGUAUACGUUCCGAAAACGCAGCCGUUCCGGAAUCUCACCGACGCGAUGUCUACGGAGGUCCUCGGGGACGAGGAACUGAUGAGGGUGACGCAGUACAGGAGCGGCACGAACACUCUGGGCAUAGUGUUCUUCUGCCUCGUGUUCGGCACGUUCCUAGGUACGCUGGGCGAGAAGGGCCAGAUCGUGAUCGACUUCUUCAAGGCUGUGUUCGAAGUCAUCAUGCGAAUGGUGUCAACCGUGAUGUGGAUGACACCGGUGGGCAUCACCUCGGUAAUAGCUGGUAAAAUAUUGGGCGUGGCAGAUCUGGCGCUGGUGAUGUCGCAACUCGCCUGGUUCAUCGUAACGAUCGUGGUCGGUGUGUUUUUCUAUCAGCUGGUGAUCAUGCAGCUGAUCUAUUUGGCCUUCGUGAGAAAGAACCCCUUUAAAUUCUACGCCGGCCUCGCCCAGGGCACGCUCACCGCCUUCGCCAUGGCUUCAACGGCCGCCGCGCUACCCGUGACAUUUCGCCUGAUGACGGACAAGCUACGGGUCGAUCCCCGCGUAACGAGAUUCGUUCUCCCGAUCGGAUGCAACAUUAACAUGGACGGGACCGCGCUGUUCGUUGCCGUCGCUAGUAUAUUCAUCGCGCAAAUGCACGGCAUCUCUUUGGGCUUCGGCGAGAUCGUCACUGUUAUUUUGACCUCGACCGCCGCGUCCGUGUCAUCGGCAUCGGUUCCAAGCGCGGCCUUGGUCUUGCUACUCGUUGUCCUAAGCGCCAUCGACGCUCCCGUUUACAACGUCUCCUUAUUAUUCACCAUCGACUGGUUCGUGGAUCGCAUUCGAACCACGAACAACAUGUUGGGUGAUUGUUACGCGGCUGCCGUCGUCGAGCAGUUAUCUAAGAAGGAAUUAAUGGCGCUGGAUGCUGCGGCUUACCAGUCAGAGACUGUUCUGCCCACAACCAUCGCGAACGGAUGCAUAUCCGCCAACAGGGUACCUGAUCCGGACACGAUAGUCGUCGAGAUGCAGGACGACAGCACGAGGAUAGCCGGUGUCGCCAAGUAAACAGGCUUGUUGAUAGGGCUAGGCCAUCACUUUGUAAGAACCCAACGAUCGCGUGCAUUUUACGUUACCUACACGUCCCUCUGUCUAUUCUGCUUUCGCUCUAACCGCAAAAGAACUACUCGCGAAUCGUCAACAUUUACAAAUGACUCAUGCCUUCUCCUCGUCACAGGCAUCAGCGUGUUGCCGAUACCGAGGAGCGUUACGGAAGAGACAGUUUGACCUGCGCUCUGCCUUGAAAGUUACAAUUUGUACCGUAGCUUAGCGCGAUUAUGAUUUUACGACACCGUCGAGUGCGACGCGUUCAAACAGGGAUCAAAAAUGAACAGAAAAUUCUACACACACACACCAACCCUCGUCGCACCACUGUUUUUUACUACAACACAGAAUUGCGUUCGCAGCGAGUCGUUUAGGUUCACGGUGAUCGUGGCCGAUAUAUCAAACAGAAAGUCAAUAUCAAAUAUUAGGCGGGAGUACGCGUUAGCGUUUGGUAACAAGCUUUGCGUAGUGACUUGUCUGGGUCAAGUGAUCGACUCGAUGGGAUUAAUUUGAUGGAACUGCGUUCAUUCGAUUGCCAGACAGUCUUAAUUGAUCGACACGAGCGGCCAAUCGUCGCCGCAAUACAGCCACGAUGACUUCGCGGCGGUUGAUCGAUGUCCCUUUUAUGCGCGACUCGGAUCUUGAUCGAUCGUUGACAAUUACGUGGAAGAAUACCUGCGGGAAAACUUCUAUUAAAAAAAAAAAAAAAAAACUGUUAGUAAAGGCUUUACGCCGCGUUUCGCGUAGCGAUUAGAACCGUUGUGAUACGAAUCGAUCGAUGGCUUCGUCGAUCGAUUCGACGUUUUGAUAGAGACAUUGUAACACUACCAGAAGAUCGUAGACGAGAGAAGACGAGUAGGUUCGUUUAGCUUUAAUCGUACUGAAUUUUACAGUUUUUGGACCAUCGACUUACUUACCAUUAGAGCGGUGCACCGAAGUAUCUCAGCUGACGCGAGUCUCUUGGAAAAUUGAAAGACGACUUAAGUACUGUCGACCACCCUGCCUCUGAAUUUUCGAUUCAACUCGUUUAGACUAAUCUCAGACUCAACACGAAGAUCGUUCUGUGACACGUGAAUAAGUUAUUAUACCUACAGUGAAGUCUAUAAAUAACCAGAUUGCAAAAUUGAAUAACAUUUUUAAUAUUAGAUCCAACAUCUUAUAAUUUUUUGGUGUGUCAGUAGGCUUACAGGAAGUCAAAGGCAAGCCACCUGAAUUGUUUCUACUUUUUUGUUUUAAGUAGGGAGAAACGUUAUAAACUUAAAAAUUGUGGCCUUCGCUUCUGUUUCGUAAAUCCGAGCUUCAGAAAUUUUUGAACAAGAAGUAAUACGCUAAAUCUAAUAUUAAAAAAGUGAUUCAAUGUUGAAAUAUGAAAGAACAUUUAUGGACUUGACUGUAUGUACGUACACUGCCGCUAAAAAGUUUGGAGCGUGUCGCAGUUUUGCAAACAAAUAAUACCUACGAUUAUCCACCGAAUCCGACUGGAAACUGUAACUACACUUAAUUCUAUACUAUAAAUGAUUUUAACGUGACGUUUAAAUGGAAAUUUCCACCAAGUUAGGUAUUCACAUUUUCCUUUUCGAACGACGGAAAGUGCUCCGAAUUUUCAAGCGGUCAGUUCAAAUACAAAACGCAUCCGAAAUGGGACGAGAGAAACAAUUUCAUUAGCGCUCAUACGCGAGCUGAUUUCAAGACUGGACAAGCAAUACGAAUUAACUAUGCUGUCACGUUGUAUAGGGGCAACUCCCAGGAUACGGAGGAGGGUUCACUAACUCUAGGCACUAGAACCUUAGGUCGAUACGUGUUCUAUCGUAGAGACUGUUUAAAUGUACAAAUUAACUGGAUAAAUUAGUGCUUUCGUAGCGAUUUUUAUUUAUGCAGUUACAUUACGUGGACUUUUGCUUGUUCCAAUUGUGACGAGUUACUUGUCGUUACUUUGAUUACGCAGGAUAGGUCGAUGUGACGCGUUUCAGUUCUCGUUUUCAUUUAUGUACUACUAAAAACAAUUAUGGUAUCACGGUAUUGGAAAUUGCCAAAGUUCGUAAAAUUAUUAAUUAGCAAUGAAUUAGCAUAGGACGAUCAUUUUUCUUUUAAAACACUUUCGAGAUAUGUUCGAUUUGUUAAAAUUCUACGAUAGAAAACGCUUGAAUCUAAGAAGAUGAAAAUUAAAAAAAUUAUCGAAGUACGACAAUGUGCACAGACUCUGAUAACUCUUUUGCAGCGAUGGUGUUUAUGACAAAUGAAAACAUGAUUCUGUAUCUUUAAUUUAGAAGGAAAAUCUCCAAGUUUUAAUUGUCUUACGAUGAUUUGUUGCUAAUUUUUAAUUUGGACAAUUUUCCAUACAAACGUGAUACCAGAAUUUUUUUUAGGUAGUGUAGUUUCGUAGCGAGUUUAACGAGAAAUCGCGCUUUAUCGCUGAAGUUUAUCUAUAAAAAAAGGAAAUAUGAAUGCAAGUUACACGUGUAUAACCAAUUUUUGAUGAAAAACGAAAUUAAUCGCGUAUUUGUAUGUAUGUAUGUACCGUGAUCGAAUAUAAUUUUGUGAUGAUUUUACGAAACUGGAGUGUUAGGAACGGUUCACGCAAGGCUUUUCAUAGUUCAUUCAGAAGUUAACUAAUGAAUGGAGUAAACAUUUUCUUGGAACGUAUUUGUUUAACGUUCGGGGACAGUUUGUAUCGUUUCAAUAAUUGCUUAUUGUUCGAACGCAGUGAUCUUGUUACUGUAAUGGAUGCGUAUGAUUAUUUUUCGCCAUGAGAUUUUUAUGACGUCUUUCGGAAGCGAGUUUGUUAUAAGAAGUUGAACCAGUAGUGGUUGUAUACUUUAUUAUUAUACGAUCACACAUUUUGUAUAAAUGGUAAUCACUGAAUAGAUUAUCAAACAAUUUAACGAUGGUUAUGCAUAUUGCCUUUGUACCGAACGAAUGUUUGUAAAACGAAACGCUUUCAAUAUUCCUAUAAACAUCUUAAUUUGUUCGGGAGAGUAUACGAGAAGGAGAUCUCAUUUCUAUAGCUGUCAUAUUGUAAAACUAUAUAGAUUUCGACAUUACGCAUAAAGUUAGAAGGUUCGAACUUGAAUAAGUGUAUUCAAGUAACGUUAGAGGAUUAGAAUUGUUUUUUUAGAUUCGAUGAUAAAUGUAUUGUACAUAUUUACCUGGUUUAUAUCGUACCCUAUAUUACUGGAAAAACGUGUUCCCACAUAUUUGAUACUGUCUGAGACUUGUCAAUUUUCAAUUAGCUUUAGCGAGGAAAAGUAGAAUAGCAGAAUUGUUUUUUUUUUCUCAUAUGCGUGUAUUUUUUUUUUAAUUUUUCUGAGGAGAUUAGAACUACGUAGACGAACAGCUUUGAACGAUCAGAACGAAUUCAAUGUAGCCACGACUCCGUGAGAAAUGUUGUACAUAUAUAUGUUAUGUAUGUACACUAAACUUACAUUUGAAUAAAACCGCAGAUAAAUAUCGAUAUUA
This is an RNA transcript of Ceratina calcarata, 5458 nucleotides long. It is a transcript of the gene named Excitatory amino acid transporter 2, with no coding region annotated. The record is from RefSeq and is a predicted model, not a curated record. The transcript has 11 exons. Lineage: Eukaryota; Metazoa; Arthropoda; Insecta; Hymenoptera; Apidae.